RNAcentral lists this ribosomal RNA (449 nucleotides) under uncultured bacterium. Its description in RNAcentral is "bacterial SSU rRNA". It matches the Rfam family "Bacterial small subunit ribosomal RNA", at positions 355 to 796 of the family's 1533-position model. The record is from RNAcentral.
UGGGGAAUCUUGCGCAAUGGGCGAAAGCCUGACGCAGCAACGCCGCGUGUGUGAUGAAGGUCUUCGGAUCGUAAAGCACUGUCGCGAGGGAAGAGACGCCAUCGGACAACACCCGAUGGUCGAGACGGUACCUCGAGAGGAAGCACCGGCUAACUCUGUGCCAGCAGCCGCGGUAAUACAGAGGGUGCGAGCGUUGUUCGGAAUCAUUGGGCGUAAAGCGCUUGUAGGCGGCCUGCCAAGUCGCGUGUGAAAUCCCUUGGCUCAACCAAGGAAGUGCGCGCGAAACUGGCGGGCUCGAGUGCCGGAGAGGGUCGCGGAAUUCCCGGUGUAGAGGUGAAAUUCGUAGAUAUCGGGAGGAACACCAGUGGCGAAGGCGGCGACCUGGACGGACACUGACGCUGAGACGCGAAAGCGUGGGGAGCAAACAGGAUUAGAUACCCCCGUAGUCC